This 492-nucleotide ribosomal RNA is filed under the name uncultured bacterium. Its description in RNAcentral is "bacterial SSU rRNA". It matches the Rfam family "Bacterial small subunit ribosomal RNA", at positions 43 to 507 of the family's 1533-position model. The record is from RNAcentral.
CGUGCCUAACACAUGCAAGUCGUACGAGAAAUCCCGAGCUUGCUUGGGAGAGUAAAGUGGCGCACGGGUGAGUAACGCGUGGGUAACCCACCCUCGAAUCUGGGAUAACUCCGCGAAAGCGGUGCUAAUACCGGAUAAGACCACAUUCCGUUCGCGGAAAGAGGUAAAAGCUGACCUCUCCAUGGAAGUUAGCGUUUGAGGACGGGCCCGCGUCCUAUCAGCUUGUUGGUGGGGUAAUGGCCUACCAAGGCACCGACGGGUAGCUGGUCUGAGAGGAUGAUCAGCCACACUGGAACUGGAACACGGUCCAGACUCCUACGGGAGGCAGCAGUGAGGAAUUUUGCGCAAUGGGGGAAACCCUGACGCAGCAACGCCGCGUGGGUGAAGAAGGCUUUCGGGUCGUAAAGCCCUGUCAGGUGGGAAGAAACUCUUCAGCACUAAUAAUGCUGAAGUCUGACGGUACCACCAGAGGAAGCACCGGCCAACUCCGUG